AAGAAGCGAAGCAGUGAUGUGGUGCAAACUACAAAAAAGUAAGUCUCAGUUCGGAUUGAAGGCUGAAAUUCGCCUUCAUGAAGCCGGAAUUGCUAGUAAUGGCAGGUCAGCAUACUGCCGUGAAUACGUUCCCGGGCCUUGUACACACCGCCCGUCACACCAUGGGAGUCAGCAACGCCCGAAGUCAGUGACCUAACCUUAUAGGGAGGAGCUGCCGAAGGCGGGGCCGGUAACUGGGGUGAAGUCGUAACAAGGUAGC
RNAcentral lists this ribosomal RNA (259 nucleotides) under uncultured bacterium. RNAcentral describes it as "partial 16S ribosomal RNA". It matches the Rfam family "Bacterial small subunit ribosomal RNA", at positions 1242 to 1500 of the family's 1533-position model. The record is from RNAcentral.